This 253-nucleotide ribosomal RNA is filed under the name uncultured bacterium. RNAcentral describes it as "partial 16S ribosomal RNA". It matches the Rfam family "Bacterial small subunit ribosomal RNA", at positions 524 to 776 of the family's 1533-position model. The record is from RNAcentral.
UACAGAGGUGGCAAGCGUGGUUCGGAAUUACUGGGCGUAAAGGGCGCGUAGGCGGCCCGUCAAGUCCCGUGUGAAAGCCCCCGGCUCAACCGGGGAACUGCACGGGAAACUAGCAGGCUUGAGUUCGGGAGAGGGAAGCGGAAUUUCGGGUGUAGCGGUGAAAUGCGCAGAUAUCCGAAGGAACACCGGUGGCGAAGGCGGCUUCCUGGACCGACACUGACGCUGAGGCGCGAAAGCUAGGGGAGCAAACGGG